Molecule: unclassified non-coding RNA, 633 nt
Filed under: Bombus terrestris (buff-tailed bumblebee)
Lineage: Eukaryota; Metazoa; Arthropoda; Insecta; Hymenoptera; Apidae
Description: misc RNA ENSBTSG00005031165.1
Source: RNAcentral
CGACCUGCGGGAAAUUCUAGCAAGAAAAGUUUAUGAUCAGGAGAAGUUACCUAUCCAUAGAAAAUAUCGUUGAACUUAAAGAAAGAAUAAAAUCCGCAUGGACGGAUAUUCAAGGCGAAACUUUAUUAUAGGCUUUAUAGGCGAAAGUUUAUAUUUGUUCAAAGCAAAAAGAACACAGUUUCAAGAGGAAAUUUGAUUUUAAUUUCUCUAGGCAAUAACCUUUGUAUUGAGAAAAGCAGAACGCGGUUCUUUAUGCGGCCAUAUGCAAGACAACUGAGUAACCAGUAACAUCCACAUGAGUCGUAGGUAUCGUGGAUGAAUUUAACCGGAAACGACGACGACUUUCCAACUACAAGUUUCGAUCGGACACGGAAUUUAAGGGAAGAAGACAGGACACGGACGAUCGAAGUACAACCGUGCGACACUCGUUUCGAGCGAGCCUCCCGAUAGCGUGUUUAUCAAACUCCUCGCUUCCGAGAACUUUCACCGUGCGACAGUCAAGUCACCGAGUUUAUAAAUUUCGAUAUUUUACACGACGAUAUGGAACGACAAACCGUGUAAUAAAUCAGAACUGUGUAAUGUUUCAUUCGUUAGACGAACGCCAUUGUGAAACAUAAAGUCUUGGUAUUUUUU